RNAcentral lists this ribosomal RNA (259 nucleotides) under uncultured bacterium. RNAcentral's name for it is "partial 16S ribosomal RNA". It matches the Rfam family "Bacterial small subunit ribosomal RNA", at positions 8 to 260 of the family's 1533-position model. The record is from RNAcentral.
AGAGUUUGAUCAUGGCUCAGGACGAACGCUGGCGGCGUGCCUAACACAUGCAAGUCGAGCGGAGACAGUGAGUAGCUUGCUAUGAGCUGUUUUAGCGGCGGACGGGUGAGUAACGCGUGAGCAAACUUUCCAAGACAGGGGAAUAACACACCGAAAGGUGUACUAAUACCGCAUAAGACCACGGGAUCACAUGGUUCUGGGGUAAAAGAUUUAUCGGUUUGGGGUGGGCUCGCGUCCGAUUAGGUAGUUGGUGAGGUAA